AUCCCUACAGGAGUCCCACAGAGACCAUCAGAUGUCAUAAGGGCUCCAUUUCCACAGUGCAUGGAAACAAAGCCUGAAGACCAUCUUCUGGAGUUGGCUAUUACCCAACUCUGAAUGAAGAAUGCGGCAGAAAGACAGGGAGAAACUAUCAAUGUUACUCAUGCUAGUUCUUGGUGGGAAAGAAUGAAACACCCCAAACUCUCUUCAUCAGCCCCAGACAUCUGGAAUGCCUACUGAAGCAUGAGGAGAAAUUAGUGCCAUAAGAAUUUGUUUUGUGGAGAAAAAUCCCAAUGUCCCUCGGCAGAGAUGUGCUCACAGGAAGCCAUUCAUGGGAAAGAGCAGACCCAGAUGUUCCUUCCAAAACAUGUUGACAAGCUUCAACAGAGCCCCCGAGCAAGGGAGGUGACAACAAUCCAUUGGGCAUGCCAAACCAAUGACACUCACAGCCUGGACAUCAGUAAUAAACAGAAUGAUACCAUAAUCAUAAUAUACAUUAUGUUUUAGAAGAGGAUAUGAGUGCAGAUCAGGGAAUUGCCAUCACAAAAUAACAGUCUUGAACCAGAGCUUGGGAAACCCUGCCCACUUUAAUGUGCUGCUUCCUCUAUAUAACUCUUUCCCAGAAUUAUUCAG
This is a long non-coding RNA of Anolis carolinensis (green anole), 630 nucleotides long. RefSeq lists it as uncharacterized. Lineage: Eukaryota; Metazoa; Chordata; Lepidosauria; Squamata; Anolidae. The record is from RefSeq and is a predicted model, not a curated record. The transcript has 3 exons.